Molecule: ribosomal RNA, 618 nt
Filed under: uncultured bacterium
Lineage: Bacteria
Description: bacterial SSU rRNA
Rfam family: Bacterial small subunit ribosomal RNA
Source: RNAcentral
ACUCCUACGGGAGGCAGCAGUGGGGAAUAUUGGACAAUGGGCGCAAGCCUGAUCCAGCCAUACCGCGUGGGUGAAGAAGGCCUUCGGGUUGUAAAGCCCUUUUGUUGGGAAAGAAAUCCAGCUGGCUAAUACCCGGUUGGGAUGACGGUACCCAAAGAAUAAGCACCGGCUAACUUCGUGCCAGCAGCCGCGGUAAUACGAAGGGUGCAAGCGUUACUCGGAAUUACUGGGCGUAAAGCGUGCGUAGGUGGUCGUUUAAGUCCGUUGUGAAAGCCCUGGGCUCAACCUGGGAACUGCAGUGGAUACUGGACGACUAGAGUGUGGUAGAGGGUAGCGGAAUUCCUGGUGUAGCAGUGAAAUGCGUAGAGAUCAGGAGGAACAUCCAUGGCGAAGGCAGCUACCUGGACCAACACUGACACUGAGGCACGAAAGCGUGGGGAGCAAUCAGGAUUAGAUACCCUGGUAGUCCACGCCCUAAACGAUGCGAACUGGAUGUUGGGUGCAAUUUGGCACGCAGUAUCGAAGCUAACGCGUUAAGUUCGCCGCCUGGGGAGUACGGUCGCAAGACUGAAACUCAAAGGAUAUGACGGGGGCCCCCACAAGCGGUGGAGCAUGUGG